Long non-coding RNA from Malaclemys terrapin pileata, 351 nucleotides. RefSeq lists it as uncharacterized. Lineage: Eukaryota; Metazoa; Chordata; Testudines; Emydidae. The transcript has 4 exons. The record is from RefSeq and is a predicted model, not a curated record.
CAGAAUCUAGGUCUUGGUAGCAUUUAUCUUUCUCCUUUUGUUCUAUCUUUGUUUCUUCCUGUACUUUUAAAUUGUGCUUCUGCAUCAGAUGCCAGAACUGAACACAAUAUUCCAGCAGCGGUCACACCAGUACCAAAUACAGAGAAAUUCUCUUCAACCCGACAUCUUCUACAGUAGCUUCAGAGACCAAGACCACAAGGACUAAAAGCAAUUUCAAAUAACAUUGAUGUUUGCAACUUUCCUUAAAGAACUGGAGUUUUCAUAUGAGCUGAAAAGCUCCUACAUUGUGGCUUGCAGAAUUAGGUAUGUUCUCCUAGAGAGGUUUUCCAUACAACCACCUCCAUGAGCAAG